This is a long non-coding RNA of Pipistrellus kuhlii (Kuhl's pipistrelle), 5151 nucleotides long. RefSeq lists it as uncharacterized. The record is from RefSeq and is a predicted model, not a curated record. Lineage: Eukaryota; Metazoa; Chordata; Mammalia; Chiroptera; Vespertilionidae. The transcript is spliced from 4 exons.
UCCAGCAGUUUGCUUGCUUCCAUUUAUUUCAAAAAGCUAAAGGAAUUCUGUCUCUGCAUUUUGGGUACUUCCCUUUGCUUCUAUGUAUUGGGUAGAGUUGCUAUGUCUCGUGGAAUUGGUGAGUGGUGUCUCUGUAGGGCCCAGUGGCUCAGCCUCCACUGUGUCCUUAGCUGGGUACUCUAGGUGCAUCCCUAUGUGGGCUGUGUGCAGUCUUGUAGUUGAGCCUUGAUUGCUAUUGGUAUCACUGCAGGGAAUUAACCUCCAGGCCAAUUGGCUGAGGACCAGUGGGAGUGUUGCUGUGUGGAAAAUACCCCCAUGGAGCAGAACUUGCUUCAGUGGGGCUUUGGUGCUCAGUCUAUCCCUUGAAUGGAUGUGUAGUUAUAAUCUGGUAUGCUCUGAAGCUGUCCACCGGAUGCAUUGUCUCUAGGGCCUCCAGAGAGGUGCCCAGCUGUGAAGCAAGGCAGGCUGGCCUUUUAUUGAUAGGUUUGGGGCAUGCAGUCACCAGCUGCAGCUGGUUUGAGAGAUUUUAGAAAAGUCUGAAGCCUGAGCCAAGACAGGCCAUUCAUAUGGAAAAGCUGCUGCAAAGUUUGGGUGGGGCGGGGAUCUCAGGCAAUCACCAGGGCAGAGAAAACAGGGUGUCGCUGAUGGAAACUGACAUGGCUGCCAGUCAGCCCUAGAACAGGGAGGUCCCAGCACAGGAAAUGACCCUCUGAGGACCCAGUCUGGGAGGAAGCCACCUGAGUUCCUACCUCUAUGCCAGACAAUCCAGUUCCUCCCCUUGUGUGUGUGGGUUCUCCAGAGGUGCUGCCUAGCGCUGGAGCUCAGAGGAAGAGGGACAUGCUGUUUAUGUGCAGGCCCUUUAAAAGGAACAGCUGAAUCUCUAGCAGCCUCAGUGUCAUUUAGCCCCAAUCCCCGCUGGUUUUUACAGCCCAUUGUUAGAGAAUUCUCUUCCCAGCUCUGGGGGUCUGGUGUGGGGCUGGGACCCCUUGUUCCUCACGGAGGCCUCCACAAAGAUUAUCUCCCAUAAGGAAAAACCACACACAGGAUGUGCUACCAGCCUCUAGGUGCUCUCUUCUCCAGUUGUAGGACCUUGCAUUCAGCGAGCCUUCAGGCAAUUUUAAACGAUGGUUUAUUUCAGUUGUAAUUUUGAUGUGGUUGUGGGAGGCAGCAAGUACAGGUUUACCUUAGCUGCCACCUUCAUUCUCUAAUAUUUUAAUGGAUUAGCAUAUAAACAUGCUCUUAAAUAAAAAAGCCUCAUAUACUUCUCUAACUUUUCUAAUAAAAUAUUUCCUAUUCUCUAAACUCACCUCUAUCAAAACUGUCUUGUCCAAGUUCCCAUUCAAAAACCCUGGGACCAUCCUUGACUCCUGUUUGCGUCCUCUCCCCCAAUCCAAUCUUUUAGCAGAUCCAGCAGCCUCUACAGUCCAUGCCAUUACCUGGCAUCCCCCCAGCUGAGUGCCCGUGACACAAGGAAAGCAGUUGGAUCUCUAGACUGAAGCUCUUAUUCUGGGACUGAAGUACACAGAAUUACACAAUCAAGUUCAAUCAUCUCCAGCUCUCGUAGGCUUACCCAAAGCUACAGAACAGGAAAGAAAACGUCUCAAGAAAAACCUUGAUGUUCUGAUGUAGGAACAAGAUACCAGGCAGCCCGAUACAGACACUACACUGGAUCUGACUUACAAGCAAACUGACUCAAGAAUGCCCUCUGCUGAGCUUCCAUUUACUGUUGGGCUCUUCUAGAGCCUGCCUGCUGACAGUCCCGUUCUCCGUUCCAUUAUCACCAGACCAGCUGAGGCAGCGAGAGAUGAAGACCCAAUGAGAUCCUUGUAGGCUGAGCUCAGUGGACUCCUGUACAUCUUACCACACACUCCAUCUAGCACAACUAGGCCAUUCAUUUCUCAAACACAUCCCUAAUUUAUUUGUGGUAUUCCAUCACUUCCUACUAAAAUCCUAAAUAUGCAAUGACAUUUGGUCUAAAUGCUCACAAGAAACCAUCUGUGGAUGUGUCCAUUUCUCAAGCACUUGGGCCAAAUAUCAACCCCCAGUUACACUCAUUCUAAACUCUGUGUGCCAGGAGUAAUCUGGGCACAGCUUUUCGGGUUAUAACAAAGUUUAACUCCUAGAGCCCAACCUUGGCACUGAAGUCCCAUUCCCUGCUUAAAAUCCAAACUAUUUUUUUCUCUUCUCCCUAUGUGCUAGUCAAACAUGUCCCAAGAUUACUGUCCCCCAGCAUGGUGCCUCACAACAGAUAUCUAGUAACGAUGAACUGAGUAUUUACUGACUAAACAAAACCUCUAAAAUAAAUAUGCAUCCCAAGUUUCAAAUAAAAGACCUAUCAACAAGCCCUAGCCAAUUUGGCUCAGUGAAUAGAGCAUCAACCCUCGAACUGAAGAAUCCUAGGUCCGAUUUCCAGUCAAGGGCAUGUACCUUGGUUGCAGGCUCGAUCCCUGGCCUUGCUCAGGGUGCAUGCAGGAGGCAACCAAUCGAUGUCUCUCUCACAUCGAUGUUUGUCUCUCCCCAUCCCUAUCACUCUAAAAAAAAAGAUUCCUCAGGUGAGGAUUAAUAUAAAAUAUAAAAAGGAUUUCACCUAGGCUGGCCAGGAUGACUUAACGGUUCAACGUUGACCCUCGACCCCUGUACCAAGAGUUGGAUUCCCAGUCAGGGCACAUGCCCAGGUUGCUGACUCGAUCCCCAGUAGGGGGUGUGCAAGAGGCAGCAGAUGGAUGUUUCUCCAUCUUCCUUUCCCUCUCUAAAAAUCAAUAAAAACAUUAAAAAAUAAAAAGUCUCACCUCAGAUAAAUUUUUAUGGUGGGGAAAAAAGAACCCAUGAAAACCCAGACUUGAAGCAGAUAAAACAUGACUUUUCUAGGUAACAACCAUUAGAGUUGAGUGGUACAAUCUGUCUCGAGAGCUGAUCUUAGAAAAGGAAAAAAACAGCAAAAACAAUUUAAAUACCACCUACCUUGAAAUGUGCCACAUGCUUAGAAUUAAAAUGUCAUUUUAUAAUGACUUAAAGAAUACUGCAAUAUAUGUCUCUGAAUGGCACUGCCCUGCUUCCAAUGUUCCUGAAUCCGAGCUUCACGUGGCCCACAAUCAGUGACGGCUGUCACAGCACACCGUGGUUAAACUGAGGGGCAGACCUGCCCAAGGCCACGCCGCUCUUCAGUGGCUGACUCAGGAGACAGGCCACCCCAUCUUCAUGCAUUUGCUCUCUCCUCCCACUGAUUCAUGAAAACCAUUAAUAAUAGCCACCCCCAUCCUAGUAACUAACUCUCAUGGUUACCAGGCAAAUCUCAUGGACUAGUUAAUUCAGAAAUGAAACAAAACCAACCUGGGGUACCAGCCGUCGUCUUUGGUAAGGAGACUUUUUAAAACGCAGAAACAUUACUACCAAUGCCUUUUUCUUUAAAAGAAGGGAGUGUGGGUGUCUCUGGUGAUGGCUCCCUUAUCAGUGUGGGUUACACUUAUGAUAAGAUUUGUGCAUUUCACUGAAUGCACAUAUUACCUCAAAGCAAGCCCAUAAGCAAAUGCUGAAGUUUAGGGAUAAAAUGAACAGGAGCCUGAAACUUACUAUGAAGUAGUUAAAAAACAAGAUGAACAGGUAGGAGAUAAAGCAAAUAUAACAAAGAACUAGACAACCAAGGAUAUAUGGGAAUUUACUAUGUAAUUCUUCAGAAUUUUCUGCAUGCUUGAAAAAUUUUUGAAAUAUCAGGAAAAACACCACUAAAAAGAAAAUGGUCUUAUUUAAGUGAUAUGCAGCUGCACUUAGCUAUCUAAACACCAAGUUUUCUUCUUGUGGGCCACUGAAAACUACACCAUGAGCAUUUAAAAGACGGUGCUCACCUACACUCCCACUCUUCUCAUCCCAGCCACCAUAUCAUCUCCGGGAGGUGUUCUCUUGGUCUGUGUGAGCAUGGAAUCACUUCACUCCUAUGCUUAAAAUUCUCUGCUGAAACAGGUUUGGCUCAGUGGAUAGAGCAUCAGCCUGCGGACUGAAAGUUCCCGUCAAGGGCAUGUCCCCAGUGCGGGGUGUGCGGGAGGCAGCUGAUCAAUGUUUCUCUUUAAUUGAUGUAUCUAACUCUAUCCCCCUCUGUAAAAACUCAAUAAAAUAUAUAUUUUUAAAAAAUUCUCCAAUGGCUCCCCACUGCACAGAGAUUCAAACCCAAGCUCCAUAUCAUGGCCUACGGGCCCUACACAAAUCUCCAAGAGCCACCCCUUUCAGCCACACACCUUUCUAUUCCAUUUUAUUCUCUCUGUAGACUCAUUUCUGUCUUAAAUGAGGAGAGGCAGCUUACGAUAAAAAUCCACAGGAUCUAAAAUAAUGGGAACCAUAUUGUAAUGGCUUAGCAAGUAUUUGAAGAAUCAAAGUGCUACAGGCACCAUAUUUAACAACCAAUUUGACCAGAAUUACAGCAGCAGCCUAAAAACUGGAAAGCAUUGAAAUAGGACCUAACGUGAAUUUUAUGAUAGAGAUCGAGUGUCAUUCCUGCCAUGGCUGGGUGGCCCAGAAAGAAGGAGCCGCAGACUAAUAACAGCUGGUCUAACACCUUUUGCAAAAUCACUUAUCCUCUCUACAACUCUGUUAAUAGAAGGGGCACACCAUGAAGGCAGAGAUGACAAAUGUAACUGAUUUGAUAAUGAUCUUAAGGUAACUGUAAAAACUGAGUUAGCAUAAUGCUGUGUAAACUUACUGAUCAAUGAAUUCCACGCCAACACCAAAGGCUUCUGCCAUGUAGCCGAGGGUUAAUGACCUGUAUGAUUCCAGCAGCUGGCUGUAGGCAUGAAUUCUCAUUUCUCUCACAUAGUACCGAUAGUGAGGAGCAAAAAGCCAGUCCUUUUUCAUUUCCUGUUCCACAACAGCUAACGACUGGAAGAAAACGGAGUAGCGGCAUUCGUAGAGUGAAAACAGAUACUGCCGAACUGCUGGAAGGCUGUGCAGCACUUCAAGAAUCUCUGCUCCUUUAAUAACCUAGGAGUUAAAAAAGAGCAUGCUUUAAUAAUGUUCUGUAUUCAAGUUAGAAAAGCAUCUUUAAAUGUGAAUGCGAGAGAUUCAGCAUUACCUUUUCCCUGAGGUCUGGUCUUUCUAAGGCAAUCAUGCUGACAUAGACAGUGUAAGUCACGAAGGUUUUAUAAUCCAUGAGCUCAUAGGACG